Molecule: ribosomal RNA, 280 nt
Filed under: uncultured Pseudomonadota bacterium
Lineage: Bacteria; Pseudomonadati; Pseudomonadota
Description: uncultured proteobacterium partial 16S ribosomal RNA
Rfam family: Bacterial small subunit ribosomal RNA
Source: RNAcentral
CCUACGGGAGGCAGCAGUGAGGAAUAUUGCGCAAUGGGGGAAACCCUGACGCAGCAACGCCGCGUGGGUGAAGAAGGCCUUCGGGUCGUAAAGCCCUUUCGGACGGGACGAACGCUCCGCGGUGACAACCCGCGGAGCCUGACGGUACCGUAAGAAGAAGCACCGGCUAACUCCGUGCCAGCAGCCGCGGUAAUACGGAGGGUGCAAGCGUUGUUCGGAAUUACUGGGCGUAAAGCGCGUGUAGGCGGCCUUGCAAGCCAGACGUGAAAGCCCUCGGCUU